Molecule: ribosomal RNA, 253 nt
Filed under: uncultured bacterium
Lineage: Bacteria
Description: partial 16S ribosomal RNA
Rfam family: Bacterial small subunit ribosomal RNA
Source: RNAcentral
AACGUAGGAGACAAACGUUAUCCGGAGUUACUGGGCGUAAAGGGCGUGUAGGCGGUUUGUUAAGUCUGGCGUGAAAGCUCUCGGCUAAACCGGGAGAGGUCGUUGGAUACUGGCAAACUUGAGGACGGUAGAGGCGUGUGGAAUUCCGGGUGUAGUGGUGAAAUGCGUAGAUAUGCGGAGGAACACCGAUGGCGAAGGCAAUCCCCUGGGCCUGCACUGACGCUCAUGCACGAAAGCGUGGGGAGCAAACAGG